AGAGUUUGAUUAUGGCUCAGGACGAACGCUGGCGGCGUGCCUAACACAUGCAAGUCGAACGGGCCUGGGGGGCAACUCUCAGGUCAGUGGCGGACGGGUGCGUAACACGUGAGCAACAUGUCCGAUGGUGGGGGAUAGCCGGCCUAACGGCCGGGUAAUACCGCAUGCGGUCACCGGGGGCAUCCCUGGUGACGAAAGUGGGGGCAACCUCACGCCGACGGAGUGGCUCGCGGCCUAUCAGCUAGUUGGUGGGGUCACGGCUCACCAAGGCUACGACGGGUAGCUGGUCUGAGAGGAUGACCAGCCACAUUGGGACUGAGACACGGCCCAGACUCCUACGGGAGGCAGCAGUGGGGAAUAUUGCGCAAUGGGCGAAUGCCUGACGCAGCGACGCCGCGUGUGGGAUGAAGGUCCUCGGAUUGUAAACCCCUGUCAGGGGGGACGAAAGCUUGGCGGUUAACAGCCGCCGAGCCUGACGGUACCUCCAAAGGAAGCCCCGGCUAACUCCGUGCCAGCAGCCGCGGUAAUACGGGGGGGGCAAGCGUUAUUCGGAAUUACUGGGCGUNNNGCGCGCGCAGGUGGCAUGGUAAGUGNCAGGUGA
Molecule: ribosomal RNA, 601 nt
Filed under: uncultured bacterium
Lineage: Bacteria
Description: bacterial SSU rRNA
Rfam family: Bacterial small subunit ribosomal RNA
Source: RNAcentral